CGCCUCGGUUGUCAAACAUGGCUGAAGCGCUGCCGCUGCCGCUACUGCCGCUGCAGGGAAAAUGCUGAGCCCUCCCGGGCCGGGUGGGCGGCGGCGGCGAGGGCGGCGACGGGGACCCGCUUCCCGAGCGCGGCGGCGGCGGCCAUGGCCCGGCUGGCUGACUACUUCAUCGUGGUAGGCUAUGACCACGAGAAGCCAGGAUCAGGAGAAGGUCUGGGGAAAAUAAUCCAGAGAUUUCCACAGAAGGACUGGGAUGAUACACCUUUUCCACAGGGAAUUGAGUUGUUUUGUCAGCCUGGCGGGUGGCAGCUGUCCAGAGAGAGGAAGCAGCCAACGUUCUUUGUGGUUGUCCUGACAGAUAUUGACUCAGAUCGACAUUACUGCUCAUGCCUAACCUUCUAUGAGGCAGAGAUCAAUCUUCAGGGAACAAAGAAGGAAGAGAUUGAAGGUGGAGCAGAAGUGUCUGGUUUAAUUCAGCCUGCGGAAGUGUUUGCUCCCAAAAGCCUGGUGUUGGUAUCCAGAUUAUAUUAUCCAGAAAUUUUUAGGGCUUGCCUGGGUUUGAUCUAUACCGUGUAUGUGGACAGCCUGAAUGUCUCCUUGGAAAGUCUAAUUGCAAACCUUUGUGCCUGCCUUGUCCCAGCGGCUGGAGGGUCUCAGAAGCUGUUUUCUUUGGGUGCAGGAGAUAGACAGUUGAUCCAGACUCCUUUACAUGAUAGUCUUCCUGUCACGGGCACUAGUGUGGCUCUCCUGUUCCAGCAAUUGGGAAUUCAAAAUGUCCUCAGCCUCUUUUGUGCAGUCCUCACAGAAAAUAAGGUUCUCUUCCAUUCUGCAAGUUUCCAGAGACUUAGUGAUGCUUGUAGAGCCCUGGAAUCUUUAAUGUUUCCUCUUAAAUAUAGUUAUCCUUAUAUCCCUAUUCUCCCGGCUCAGCUACUGGAAGUUCUAAGUUCCCCAACACCUUUCAUUAUUGGAGUACAUUCUGUCUUUAAAACUGAUAUCCAUGAACUUUUAGAUGUAAUCAUAGCAGAUUUGGAUGGAGGCACUAUUAAAAUUCCUGAAUGUAUUCACCUCUCUUCCCUCCCAGAACCACUUCUACAUCAGACUCAAUCAGCUCUUUCUUUGAUUUUACACCCAGAUUUGGAAGUAGCAGAUCAUGCUUUUCCUCCUCCACGAACAGCUUUAUCCCACUCAAAAAUGCUGGAUAAAGAGGUGCGAGCCGUUUUCCUUAGAUUAUUUGCACAACUCUUCCAAGGAUAUAGAUCCUGCCUGCAACUUAUAAGAAUUCAUGCAGAGCCAGUAAUACAUUUCCACAAGACAGCAUUCUUGGGGCAGCGUGGUUUGGUCGAGAAUGAUUUCCUCACUAAAGUACUCAGUGGAAUGGCAUUUGCAGGUUUUGUUUCAGAAAGAGGUCCUCCUUAUAGAUCUUGUGAUCUCUUUGAUGAGUUGGUAGCCUUUGAAGUAGAGAGAAUUAAAGUUGAAGAAAAUAACCCAGUGAAGAUGAUAAAGCAUGUCAGAGAACUUGCUGAGCAACUAUUCAAAAAUGAGAAUCCAAAUCCUCAUAUGGCAUUCCAGAAAGUUCCACGGCCAACAGAAGGAUCCCAUUUGCGAGUUCAUAUUCUUCCUUUCCCAAAGAUUAAUGAAGCCCGGGUUCAGGAAUUAAUACAGGAAAAUGUUGCUAAGAACCAGAAUGCACCUCCUGCCACACGAAUAGAAAAGAAAUGUGUUGUGCCAGCAGGUCCACCUGUUGUUUCGAUAAUGGACAAGGUGACGACAGUUUUCAACAGUGCACAAAGACUAGAAGUUGUCAGAAACUGUAUCUCAUUCAUAUUUGAAAAUAAAAUUUUGGAAACUGAAAAGACCCUUCCUGCUGCACUCAGAGCCCUUAAAGGAAAGGCAGCAAGACAGUGUCUCACUGAUGAAUUGGGUUUGCAUGUCCAGCAAAACCGGGCAAUAUUAGACCAUCAACAGUUUGACUACAUAAUAAGGAUGAUGAAUUGUACUCUACAGGAUUGUUCAAGUUUAGAAGAAUACAACAUUGCCGCAGCAUUACUCCCUUUGACCAGUGCUUUCUAUAGGAAACUUGCCCCUGGAGUCAGCCAGUUUGCUUACACGUGUGUACAAGACCACCCCAUUUGGACAAAUCAGCAAUUUUGGGAGACAACCUUUUACAAUGCAGUGCAGGAACAGGUUCGCUCCCUUUAUCUCUCAGCCAAGGAAGACAAUCAUGCCCUGCAUCUGAAGCAAAAGGAUAAGCUUCCUGAUGACCAUUAUCAGGAGAAGACAGCAAUGGACCUGGCAGCUGAGCAACUACGCCUUUGGCCUACCCUGAGCAAGUCAACUCAGCAAGAGCUAGUGCAACAUGAGGAAAGCACUGUCUUUAGUCAGGCCAUUCACUUUGCAAACCUCAUGGUGAACCUGCUAGUUCCACUCGACACAAGUAAAAACAAGCUCCUAAGAACAUCAGCGCCAGGUGACUGGGAGAGCGGAAGCAACAGCAUUGUCACAAACAGUAUUGCAGGAAGUGUAGCUGAGAGCUAUGAUACAGAGAGUGGGUUUGAAGAUUCAGAGAAUAAUGACAUUGCCAAUUCUGUUGUGCGGUUCAUUACCCGAUUUAUUGACAAAGUUUGUACAGAGAGUGGAGUUACUCAGGAUCACAUCAAGAGCCUUCAUUGCAUGAUACCAGGAAUUGUAGCUAUGCACAUUGAGACCCUAGAAGCAGUACAUCGAGAAAGCAGAAGACUUCCGCCUAUUCAGAAGCCCAAGAUUCUUAGACCUGCUCUGCUGCCAGGAGAAGAAAUUGUCUGUGAGGGUCUUCGAGUCUUGCUGGAUCCUGAUGGAAGAGAAGAAGCUACUGGAGGUCUUCUCGGAGGCCCUCAGCUCCUGCCAGCAGAAGGAGCCUUGUUCCUCACCACAUACAGGAUUCUCUUCAGAGGAACACCCCAUGAUCAGUUAGUGGGUGAGCAGACAGUUGUGCGGAGCUUUCCCAUUGCCUCCAUCACCAAGGAGAAGAAGAUUACAAUGCAGAACCAGCUACAGCAGAACAUGCAAGAAGGACUGCAGAUCACAUCAGCAUCUUUUCAGUUGAUUAAGGUAGCAUUUGAUGAAGAAGUCAGUCCAGAAGUAGUAGAGAUCUUUAAGAAACAGCUGAUGAAGUUCCGUUAUCCUCAGUCCAUUUUCAGUACCUUUGCUUUUGCUGCUGGACAAACUACCCCACAAAUAAUUUUACCAAAACAGAAGGAAAAGAACACUUCUUUUCGUACCUUCUCAAAAACAAUUGUGAAAGGUGCCAAAAGGGCAGGGAAAAUGACAAUUGGGCGGCAAUAUUUACUGAAGAAGAAGACAGGGACAAUUGUGGAAGAAAGAGUAAAUCGUCCUGGAUGGAAUGAAGAUGAUGAUGUAUCUGUUUCAGAUGAGAGUGAGCUCCCCACAAGUACCACCCUGAAGGCCUCCGAGAAGUCUACAAUGGAACAGUUGGUGGAAAAAGCUUGUUUCAGAGACUAUCAUCGUUUAGGUUUAGGAACCAUAAGUGGCAGUUCUUCCCGUUCAAGACCCGAGUAUUUUCGAAUUACUGCCUCCAACAGGAUGUAUUCACUCUGCCGGAGCUAUCCUGGCCUUUUAGUCGUACCUCAAGCUGUACAGGACAGUAGUUUACCAAGAGUAGCUCGCUGCUAUCGACACAAUCGCCUGCCUGUUGUAUGUUGGAAGAACUCAAGAAGUGGUACUCUGCUCCUCCGAUCUGGAGGAUUCCAUGGGAAGGGAGUCGUUGGUCUUUUCAAAUCUCAGAACUCCCCUCAGGCCGCUCCUACCUCCUCUUUAGAAUCUUCCAGUAGCAUAGAACAAGAGAAAUACUUGCAAGCCUUACUGAAUGCUGUUUCUGUCCAUCAGAAACUCAGAGGCAACAGCACUCUUACUGUCAGGCCAGCCUUUGCUCUAUCUCCAGGGACUGAAAGGAGGACUUCAAGAAUGUCCACUGUGCUUAAGCAGGUAGUGCCAGGACAUUUGGAUGUAAACCCAUCCAAUAGCUUUGCUCAAGGAGUGCAUGGGUACAGAGAUAAAUGUUUUACUCAGUCAAAUCCCAAAUCUUCAGCUAAGGGAAGAGUCCAUAAUCAAGGUGUGUGGGCAAGUCUUCGCUCUAGCACUCGCUUGAUCAGCUCUCCAACAUCCUUCAUUGAUGUUGGCGCCCGGCUGGCAGGCAAGGAUCACUCGGCCUCCUUCAGUAACAGCACCUACCUACAAAACCAGCUCUUGAAACGGCAAGCAGCCCUUUACAUAUUUGGUGAAAAGUCGCAACUAAGGAACUUCAAGGUAGAAUUUGCUUUAAAUUGUGAGUUUGUUCCUGUUGAAUUUCAUGAAAUCCGGCAAGUGAAAGCCAGUUUUAAGAAGCUGAUGAGGGCUUGUAUCCCAAGCACCAUCCCUACUGACUCAGAAGUGACCUUCCUGAAAGCACUGGGAGAUUCUGAGUGGUUCCCACAGCUUCACAGGAUAAUGCAGCUGGCUGUGGUUGUAUCAGAAGUACUUGAGAAUGGUUCCUCAGUUUUGGUCUGUUUGGAGGAAGGCUGGGACAUCACUGCACAAGUGACAUCCCUGGUUCAGUUACUCAGUGAUCCCUUUUAUAGGACACUUGAAGGCUUCCGGAUGUUGGUUGAAAAAGAGUGGCUCUCUUUUGGUCACAAAUUCAGUCAGAGGAGCAGCUUGACCCUCAACUGUCAGGGGAGUGGUUUUGCUCCAGUCUUCUUACAGUUCUUAGACUGUGUACACCAGGUUCACAACCAGUAUCCAACUGAGUUUGAAUUCAAUCUCUAUUACUUAAAGUUCUUGGCUUUCCACUAUGUGUCUAAUCGCUUUAAAACAUUUCUCCUGGAUUCAGACUAUGAAAGAUUAGAGCACGGAACUUUAUUUGAUGAUAAAGGAGAAAAGCAUGCCAAAAAGGGAGUCUGUAUUUGGGAAUGUAUUGACAGAAUGCACAAGAGGAGUCCCAUUUUCUUUAAUUAUUUAUAUUCACCAUUGGAAAUAGAGGCUCUAAAGCCCAAUGUAAAUGUCUCCAGCCUCAAGAAGUGGGAUUACUACAUAGAAGAGACCCUGUCCACAGGCCCUUCCUAUGACUGGAUGAUGCUAACCCCCAAGCACUUCCCCUCCGAAGACUCUGACCUGGCUGGAGAAGCUGGGCCACGGAGCCAGAGGAGAACAGUGUGGCCAUGCUAUGAUGAUGUCAGCUGUACUCAGCCCGAUGCUCUCACCAGCCUUUUCAGUGAAAUUGAAAAAUUGGAGCACAAAUUGAACCAAGCCCCUGAGAAGUGGCAGCAGCUGUGGGAAAGGGUAACCGUGGACCUUAAAGAAGAACCAAGAACAGAUCGCAAACAUUUAUCAAGCACAUAAUAUGUGGAAGGGUCUGUGCUUAGUACAGUACACACCUUCGUAUCCUAUUUAAUCCACUGUGAGGGAAUGGCGUUCCCUCUCCUACACAAGGAACAGGCACAGAGAGCAUACAGCGGCAACUGGUAGAGCCACCAAUCGAACCCACAUCAGACUGGCUCCAAAUGCAACAGAAGGGAAAUUAGGACAGAUGAGUGUUCUGAAGAACAGUUCAGGAAGAAGAGGCCAGCAGGUCAGAUGUUACAGAAAGGUCAAGAAGAAUGGAGGGUAGAAGAAAACCUUUGUGGUAAAAAAAGAACAUCUGGGGCUCUAUCUCUUACCCUCAAAUAGCAAUUCAGGAGCUGUUAUCAGACAGACAACAGUCCCAAAGACACCUGUCGAGAUCCCCAGGAAUUGUGUCUACCAACCUACCUUCCUAUCAGAAGAGGUCUCUGCUACAUCUCCCAGACAGCAGCAUGGGGGAGGAACACAAUUCCAGCAUCUCCCCAUCCAAUGGAGUGGAGCGAAGAGCAGCCACACUCUAUAGCCAGUAUACAUCCAAGAAUGAUGAAAACAGGUCCUUUGAGGGAACGCUUUAUAAAAGAGGGGCUUUGCUGAAAGGUUGGAAGCCCCGUUGGUUUGUUUUGGAUGUAACAAAACAUCAGCUGCGCUACUAUGACUCAGGUGAGGACACAAGCUGUAAAGGCCACAUUGAUCUGGCUGAAGUAGAAAUGGUCAUCCCUGCUGGCCCCAGCAUGGGAGCCCCAAAGCACACAAGUGACAAGGCUUUCUUUGAUCUCAAGACCAGCAAACGUGUGUAUAACUUCUGCGCCCAGGAUGGACAGAGUGCCCAGCAAUGGAUGGACAAAAUCCAGAGUUGUAUCUCUGAUGCCUGAUGCCCAUGGUCAACCCACGCAGAAGAAACAGAAGAACUCAUGCUGCCAGAUAGAAAAAGAAGCAUGGAUCCUUGAGGAGCUGACAACAAGUUAUCCCGGGGCCUGAGGUUCUCCUGCCCAGUCCCCUCUUGCAGGGGUUGCUAUAUCUACUUAACCUGAACAGGUGUUUCACACAGGUCUGGUCAACAGCCCCAUGCACUCCCUGUAUCUUGCACUAAAUUUUUCUAACAGGGUCUUAGUGGUUAAUGAUCAGAAGAUGUCUCCUGAGCCAACUGUGAACCUCACCCAGGCAAAAUGGCUACCACCUACUUGCGUCCUUCUUCAUGAAAGCUAUAGAUCCUUUUUUGUUCUCUGAGGUCAUAAUUUCCUUGGAGACCUGUUUAACAAGCAAAAAUCAAAACCCUCCAAGAUUGUCUCAUAUUCUACCUGGAUUAGGUUUCCUAUGAGAGACAUCUACUUGUAAUGCCUGACCUUUGAGAUGCUCAGUUCUCUGGUGCUGCCAAAAGAUGCUUCCAUGGUCCGUGCUCUGCCAGUGGGGUUCACAACAAGAGACGUCAUUGUUCAGUAGCAGGCAAAGAGGGAGCACACAGCAUUAUUCUGAUGGAAAAAGAUUAUCCAGGGAAUGGUACAACAAUGACCAGCCCAAUGCAGGAAAACACUACUUCCAAAACACUGAAUUCUCUAGACCAGAGGUGCUCUGAGGAUCCAGAGCCUUGUGUUCUUAUGUAUCUUCUGCUUCCUGACAGUUUCUUUUUCAAAAUAACAUGCAAAAAAAGCUGAAUGCACUAACUCACAAAACAAACACUUGCACUGAAUUCCCAAUGAAGUGAAGAUGUUGGAAAGACAGAGGCCAGCUAUUUAGGACCAUACGCACCUGUGACAAGGGCUGUGUUGACCACAGUCACACUGUGGCAUGACUGGAUACCCAAACUACACUUCUACACAUGAAAAGUAAGAACUGUCUUUAGAUUUUCUUUACUUUGAUAACUUGUGAUUGUUUAGCUUAAGACCCAAGAAAUGCUGUUUGCUCAUGGUAAACAAACAGAAACAGCAUCUUCGCUACAACCACUGACACCAGCUGGCGUCAUAGGUAGCUAGAUCAUUGCAUUUGUUUUGAAAUGUUAAUAUGUUAAAUACUAAACUAAUAUUUCAAAAAUGUGUAUAUAUGAUUUCUAUAUCCUUGUUUUUCAGAUAGCCUGCUUAUAAUUUAAUAUAAAUUAACUGAUGCAUUCAUAAGAUUUCAAUAAUGAAAUGGUUCCCUUUUAAAAAAUAAAAAUACUUUGUAGAUUAAAAAUAAAUCAGAAUUUCAAAUUUAAAAUUGUCUACACACUAGGAAAUAGAACUGUGUUAAUAUAUAAGAAAUUCGGGGAUAAUUAAGAAUGAAGGACUUUUCUAUCAUUUCCAUUUUAUAAAUUGCCACCUGUGAAAAUGGUUUUUGCACAUUAUUUGUAUUUUUCUUUGUAUAUGAAAUAAUUUUUUGUACUUUGUAAAAUAUGGAGCCCAUUGUACCUUCAGCUAUUUGAGACUAUACACAGUGCUUCUUUUGUAACUGGAUUACUUUAACUUUCGUGAAGGCAUUACAUUGCCUCACAUUCACUAACCACCUUGAAUUAAAUUUAUUUCUUAAGAAAAAGCA
This is an RNA transcript of Pan troglodytes (chimpanzee), 7881 nucleotides long. It is a transcript of the gene named SET binding factor 2, with no coding region annotated. The transcript is spliced from 43 exons. The record is from RefSeq and is a predicted model, not a curated record. Lineage: Eukaryota; Metazoa; Chordata; Mammalia; Primates; Hominidae.